CUUUAUAAAAUGUACAUAAAGAACAUGAAACCCUUGAGGUAAAAGUGAGAGCAGUUUGGAACUCAACCAGAUACAGACCCAACAAUGACCCAAAAAUCAAUCUACAGUGGGGGUGUAGGAAAAUAAGAGAGCAAGUUUGGGUUCUGUACAGGAGUGGAGAUCGUUAAAAUGUCCUGGUAAUGCUAUUUACAUUAAAUACAUCCAGUUACAGGUAUUUAUAGGGUAUUUACAGACACAAACACCACGUUUGUCCCCUUUGCAGCUGGAGCGUGCAGCAGGUCUGAGCGUUCCUGAGAAGGUGCUGAGGCUCUUCAUCCUUGCUCUCAAGAAUUUGUGUUUCUCCAACCCCUUCUGUGGUCGUAUCCGUCCAAAAAUUCCUCAGGUGUGGUUGUUGCAAUGAUCCCAUUUUCCCCUCCCAUCUGUGGAAGGUGAAAGUUGCCUGCUCAAAUCCUGGAUCCCAAGGGAUUGGCAGGAAUGUUUCUCCAGCUGUAGCCACGACCUUGGCAUUGAGCAAAGCUCAAGAUUCACUUGUCCAAGCACUCAACAUUCCAGUCUCCUUCUCAAUGGGAAAAUAAAAUCGUACAGAGACUGGAAAAGGAAGGAAAUCAGUUGUAAAUCACUUGUCAUAGUCCCUUAAGGUGACAUCCAACCUGAGUGUGUCACAGAGGAGCCAGGCAGGAGAGGCACAGAUCCAUCCAUCCCAUCCAUCCCGACCCAUCCAGAGGGAGCACAAAUGAUCCUAUUUAGGUUUCAGUUUCUCCUCGGGAAUCUGAGAUGGAUUUUAUCAUUGCCAGGUGCUGCUCAGGGCAGCAGGGAAUUCCCGUUCCUGGAGGGAUUUCAGAGCCCUGUGGAUGUGGCACUUGGGGACAUGGGCCAGUGGUGGCCUUGGCUGUGCUGGGGCAUGGCUGGACUCGAUGUCCUUGGAGCUAACUCCCAACCUAAAUGAUUCCAUAGAUCCAUUACGGUGCUCCCAGUGGGAAAUGACGGGUGGAUCAUGGCUGAACUGGGAUGUUUUAGGGAAUUUGAGGAGGGGUGCUCGGGGAAGAGGGAAUUUCUCCUCAGACCUACGGAGUCCAUCGAGUCCUCUGCUGACUCCCUCAGUCUGUUCUCACUUGAGUUUUAAAGUCACACAAAAUAUCCAAGGCCAGGCUGGAUGGGCUUGGAGAAACUGGAAUAAUGGAAAGUCCCUGCCCAUGGAAGGGUGGGACUGGAUGGGAUUCAAGGUCCCUUCCAACCCAAACCACCCUGGGAUUCUGGGAUGUGUUGAACACAAGCUCCCCAGUCUGACAGAUCCAAAGGAAAACAAAAUAGAGCAGAAUGUACAAUCCCAAUUUCCCUGGGUUUGGGUUGAUGAUCUCUCCUCUCUUUUAUCAUACAGAGCACAAUUCCCUGCCCGCACCAACAUUCCCGUGGGAUCUGGGGGUGACACAGUCAGGGACAGACGACAGGAAAACUUCUGCACACUGUAAAUCCCAGGAAUGUGGGAUUGCAGGAGCUGCAGGUCCCUAAAUUCCUUUGCACAAGGGAUAAUCCAAUGGUUUCAUUCCCUCUGUGCUGACUGACACUGGAAUCGUGGUGGAGCAGGUAAAAAGGGGAGAACAUUCCUGCAGUGCUGCUCAUUUUCCAUAAAAAAAACCCUGAAAUGUAAAAAUAACCUUUUUUAUAGCUUUUGAUAGUUUUAUGGGAAAAUCCAAGAAUUAUUCCAGAUGGUUCCAAAUCUCUUUAUUAGCAUGGGAGAGGCAGGGAGUGCUUGUAACUCCAAACUGGAGCCUUUUUUUUUUAAUGGAAAUGCUCCAAAAAGCCAUUUUCCUGAUGGAUCACACACUUCUGGGGGAGGAAGAGAGUUUCAAUUACCCUUAUAUAUAUGCAAAAAAACCAUUCCCAGUGGGUAAACUCUCCCAGAAUAAAACCAGGAAUGACUCUUCCACUCAGCAUGGAAAAAAAUCAGAUCCUUCUGCCUCAACUUCUCCCUACAGAGGGAAUUCACUGCCCUGCCUAGGCAGGAAAAGAGAGAAUGAACAAGAAGUUGAAGAUUGACUUUGUUUUAAAGUUUGUGGAUCCCAAUCACCCCAAAACUGAUUAUUCCAUCUCCAUGGUGGAUGCAGCAGGAAUCUGGGAUCAGUGGAGCCUGGGGCUUGCAGGGGCUGGAAGAUGCAGCUCCAUCACUUUAGGAGGAACCAGCAGUUCCUGUCCCAAAAUAAAAGGAAAUUUCACAUUCCCAGGCAUUUCUGGCCUUCAAAUCCUAACUGUGCAUCCAUGGUGUCACUGGAAUGGGUUUACUCCCUUCUAAUCCAUGUUUUUAUCCCUCCUUUUGUCCCAUCCAGGAUCCAGGCCAGGCUGGAGAAGAGGUGGGUUGGUAGCACGGUGAGAUCCGAGUGUUUCGUGAUUUUUUGUGGAAUUCAGGUUGUCCAGAGAAGCUGCCCCUGGACCCCUGGAAGUGUCCAAGGCCAGGUUGGACCCUGGGGCUUGGAGCAGCCUGGGACAGUGGGAGGUGUCCCUGCCCCCCCAUCCAGGAGUGGCACUGGGUGGGAUUUAAGGUCCCUUUCACCCAAACUACUCCAUAAUUCCACGAUUCCAUGAUUUCACAUUCCCUGUGCUUUGCGAAACAAAAAGUGAAGUCCUCCGGUGCCAUCCCUGUGCUCCCAGAUCAGCCUGAGAAAGAACUGAAAAAACCUGGAAAACUUAUCCUGUGCUCCACCCUCCUCUGCUUUGGGAACAGCCAGAUAAUUCCUGCAGCCAGCCCAUCAAACCCAGACACUUUUCCCAACAUCCCAGGACUUCAUUGCUGCUCAAUUCAGUAUUUGAUGUCCAUUUUAAAAAUCCAUCAAGGACAUUUCAAGGUUGGAUACCCCAGAACUGAAUCAGAGGGGUUUCAAAUUCCAGGGAACUGUCAGUUCCAUCUGCCUUUGAUGGCUGAUCCAACAUUUUCACAUCCAUUUUCAGUCCAAAAUGUAACGUAAAAUAAAAACCAAGAGCAGGAAAUUCAUGUCUCAAUUUGUUCUUCUUGUUCAUGGCCUGGAGUAAAAUCCCAUUUCCUUUUCGGUGCUUUAUUUUGGGAAUGUAAAAGAAGAUAAAACUACUCCUACAAUCAACAUUUGGAAGAGAAAUCCUGCUUUUCUUAGCACCUCCUGCGCCCCAGAGUAAAAUGGGAACAGGCAUGGGAAUACAGUUCCUUUCCCACAAAAACCUGGGAUUUUCAGGACACUCAGAUUAUUCUGCCCUGAAAAAAGACAUCUGUGGUCUUUGUCGAUCAAAAUUCUUUAUCAAAUAUUCCAUGGGAGAGAGAGAAUGGAAAAUCCAAAUGGAAAGAGGGAAAGAUGGAUUUCAGCCUGCAGUUUUAGCUUGGCACCUAAACAAUGGAGCAGGAUCUCCUGUUCCUUUAUCAAAGAGGAAUCACAGGGCACUUCCCAAAUCCCAACUUCCCACAGAGUUCCCAUCAUGCCACCACCACCAGCCCUGCAGCCAGAGCUCUGCCUGGGAAGUUCAUCUCCAAUGGGUAUCUAAGGUUCAGUUUGGAUUUUCCAGGGAAUUCGAGGGAAGCAGGGAAGUAUUUUAAAGGCAGUGGAAUGCUUCCUGUUUUCCUUUCCUUCCUGGUCUGUGGAAGGUGUCCCUGCCUGUGGGGUUGGAAUAGGAUGAGAUUUAAGGUCCCUUCCCACCAAAAUCUUCUGGGAUUCUGUGGAAAUGACGGACAGACUGUCAGUCUGGCUCCCAGGAGAUCCAGCCCUUCCAAGGAGAGUCCUGCCAAAAUCACCCAUGGAGAAGCAUCUUGGAUCACCCCUCAGCUCUGUGGCUCUCAGGAGACAUCCAUGGGAAGAUGCACGGCAAGGUUUGGAUCCUGGGUUCCAAGACACACCAACCUCCAAAAAAAAUCUGCCUUGGGGUGUCACCGUGCCUGACCUGAUCCUCCAUCCAUCCAUCUAUCCACAGUUCAAAUCCAGAGCAUCUAAUGGGAAAUUUGGGGAUUUGUGUUAAGGGUGUCAAACACCUCAGUCCAUCCAGAUUCAAGAGUUACAAAUCCCCCAGGCCACCAGACUCAGAAUUCCCAACAUCUUCCAAACCCCACAGUCCAUCCAGACACAGAGCUCCCACUUUCUUCCAGAUCCCAUGGUCCAUCCAGAUUUGGAGCUUCCACUUUCUUCCAAACCCUAUUCACCAUCCAGACUCAGAGUUCCCACCACUUUCCAGACCCCACAGUUCAUCAGACUCUGCGUUCCCAUUGUCAUCUGAACCCCACAGACCAUCCAGACUUGGAGCUCCCACAGUCUUCCAAAUCCCCCAGUCCAUCAGACUCAGAAUUCCCACUGACUUCCAAGCCACAUAGUCCAUUCAAAUUUGGAGCUUCCACCAUCUUCCAAACCCAACAGGCCACCUGGCUCAGAGUUCCCACCAUCUUCCAUACCCCAAGGUCCAUCAGGAUCAGAGCCACUGUUUUCCAAACCCCACAGUCCAUCCAAAUUCGGAGCUUCCCACUUUCUUUCAAACCCCACGGUCCAUCCAGACUUGGAGCUCCCACCACUUCCAAACCCCACGGUCCAUCCAGACUUGGAGUUCCCACCAUCUUCCAAACCCCACGGUCCAUCCAGACUUGGACUUCCCACCAUCUGCCAAACCCCACGGUCCAUCCAGACUUGGAGUUCCCACCAUCUUCCAAACCCCACGGUCCAUCCAGGCUUGGAGUUCCCACCAUCUUCCAAACCCCAUGGUCCAUACAGGCUUGGAGUUCCCACCAUCUUCCAAACCCCACGGUCCAUCCAGGCUUGGAGUUCCCACUUUCUUCCAAACGGAGCAAGGUGCUGAUAACCCCAAGGUUGUGGGUUCGAUCCCUGCAGGGACCAUUCAGUUCAGAUUUGUACUCGAUGAUCCCUGCAGGUCCCCUCCAGUCCAGAAUAUUCCAUGAUUCCAGGGAUGAGCUUUAAGGUCCCUUCCGACCUAAACCAUCCUGGGAUUCUCUGAAAAUGUCCUGACUGGGAGCUCCCACCGUUUUCCAAGCAGAGGAACCUAAAGACACCAAAAAUGCCUAAAAUCCAGGGAGCCAGGAGCAUCCUGGGAAUGCUCCAGCCCCCAGGCACCACCAGUUUGGACCAGUACAACUCCAGCUGACCAAGGAAAGCCCUGCCAGCGUCUCAACAAACACACGCACCACGGGGCUGCCUUACCUGGAAAGAGGCUUUAUUGAACAGAGCUGGAAAAUUAUCUCUUCAGUGGAAUUACUGAAUUUGCACAAACAUUUCUCUACAGAAUAAAAAAAAUCAAGCCUUGUCAUUGUUUUACUGCAUCUCGUUGUGCUUUUUAUACUCAUAUUUGCAAUUAUUAUACUCAUCUUUUGUUUGUUUUCACGUUUGUACUCCAAUUAUUUGCAUAUCAGGUUUUGCUUUUAAUCCUAGGGUGUCGAGAGAACACAGAAUAAUAAUAAUAAUAAUUAUUAUAAUUAUAAUAAUAAUAAUACUCUUCUUUAGACAAAAGUCUUUUUUUUUUUUUAAAUGAAGUUAAAAGCUGAGCUAAUUUAAGGAAAAAGGUCUUCAAAUUUCAUAACCAACUGGAAGGGAACUUUACAAUGCAGUGGAAAACCGGCACGUGUUCGGGUAGCUCGAACCCAUUUUGUACAGCUUUUAUUUAUUUUUUUUUUCCUUGUAAAAGUGGAUUAUUUUUAAUUUUUUUUUUUUAUACUUUUUUUCUUGUUUGUUUGUUUUUUUGAAUUUCGCUACAAUAACAAAAUAAUCUUUCGCCCUCUGCACCAAGUCUGGCUCCGGGGCAGAGGCAGAGCCCCCUCGGAGCGUCCGGAGCUCCAGAUGUCGGGAGCCAUCCCAACGGAGGGGGAGAGUAAGAAAAUCAUCCUGUGUUUCACCACCUUCUGCACCAAGUGUGUGUCUGAACCACCUUUGUUCCUCUGGUUGACCCACUGGAGAACCUGAAACGACGACGACAACGACAACAAGAAGUGCUGCUCCCGUGGGCAGCACCGCCGGGAGCUGUUCCGAAUGGAUAAGAAGCUGAAAGGCCAAGGCUGUCUGGAAGGUCACACAGCACGGAUCUCAUCCCAAAGGCUUUCCACAGCAGCUUAGGUCCAUCCAUCCUUCUCCAGAAGCGGCUCCGUCUCCUUGCCUGCACACCCAGGCUCCAGAGUUUGUUUAGAAAAGACUUUGCACAGCCCACGUUUUCA
Molecule: long non-coding RNA, 6160 nt
Organism: Serinus canaria (Common canary)
Lineage: Eukaryota; Metazoa; Chordata; Aves; Passeriformes; Fringillidae
Exons: 2
Source: RefSeq, a predicted model, not a curated record